UCUUGGCUAAAAGAAAAACAAGAUCUAAUGAUUUCCUUAUGGGUACAGGCUUGAAGAAACGUAACCUACGGACUGGCAAACAGCAGGUACUCAUAUAGUUGCCAUCACUAUUGUAUCUGAGGACCUCACAUACAUCAGAGCUCAUAACUUCUCUGUGAGGGCUUUGGAGCGGAGCCCGGAGCUGGAGUGCGGAGCAGUGGAGCUGCAGGUUUUUGCCUGGAACUGGAGCGGAGCCGGAGCACAGCUCCAAAGCCCU
This is a long non-coding RNA of Malaclemys terrapin pileata, 256 nucleotides long. RefSeq lists it as uncharacterized. The record is from RefSeq and is a predicted model, not a curated record. The transcript has 3 exons. Lineage: Eukaryota; Metazoa; Chordata; Testudines; Emydidae.